Molecule: non-coding RNA, 168 nt
Organism: Salvia hispanica
Lineage: Eukaryota; Viridiplantae; Streptophyta; Magnoliopsida; Lamiales; Lamiaceae
Source: RefSeq, a predicted model, not a curated record
AAUUGGGAAGUCAGAGGAGAUUGAAGAAAAGAAAAGGACGAAAGGACGAGUUCAAAGGAUUAAAAAAAAAGAGUGGAUCAAGAACUAUAAAUCAGGAGUCGGAUGUAGAGGUUCAAUAAGCUUACCUAUCGUAUCCAGGAAUAAGAUAUGAGUGAAGUAUUUGGUUGA